GACGAACGCUGGCGGCGUGCUUAACACAUGCAAGUCGAACGGAAAGGCCCUUCUUUUGUGGGGUGCUCGAGUGGCGAACGGGUGUGUAACACGUGUGUAACCUGCCCUUGACUUUGGGAUAACUUCAGGAAACUGGGUCUUAUACCGGAUAGGAGCUCCUGCUGCAUGGUGGGGGGUGGAGAUUUUCGGCGGUUGGGGAUGGACUCGCGGCUUAUCAGCUUGUUGGUGGGGUAGUGGCUUACCAAGGCUUUGACGGGUAGCCGGCCUGAGAGGGUGACCGGCCACAUUGGGACUGAGAUACGGCCCAGACUCCUACGGGAGGAAGCAGUGGGGAAUAUUGCACAAUGGGCGGAAGCCUGAUGCAGCAACGCCGCGUGCGGGAUGACGGCCUUCGGGUUGUAAACCGUUUUCGCCUGUGACGAAGCGUGAGUGACGGUAAUGGGUAAAGAAGCACCGGCUAACUACGUG
RNAcentral lists this ribosomal RNA (468 nucleotides) under uncultured bacterium. RNAcentral's name for it is "partial 16S ribosomal RNA". It matches the Rfam family "Bacterial small subunit ribosomal RNA", at positions 28 to 507 of the family's 1533-position model. The record is from RNAcentral.